Molecule: ribosomal RNA, 500 nt
Filed under: Sycophila taprobanica
Lineage: Eukaryota; Metazoa; Arthropoda; Insecta; Hymenoptera; Eurytomidae
Description: partial 16S ribosomal RNA
Source: RNAcentral
GACAGACUUAAAACAUUUAUUUUCUUCAAUAAAAUUUUAUCUUAAUUCAACAUCGAGGUCGCAAUAAUUUUUAUCAAUAUGAACUCUCUAAAAAUAUAACGCUGUUAUCCCUAAGGUAAUUUAAUAUAAAUUCAUUAAUUAAUGGAUAAAAAAUUCAUAAAUUAAUGUAAUAAUAAUAAAAAAUUUAAUUAAAUUUUUCAAUUUCCCCAAUCAAAUAAAAUUAUACCUUAAAAUAAUUUAUAAAUUAUUUUAAAAAUAAUUAAUAUAAAAUUCUAUAGGGUCUUCUCGUCUAUUAAUAAAUUUUAAGAAUUUUAACUUAAAAUAAAAUUUAAACAAUUAAUUUGAGACAGAUUUUAUUUCAUUCAAUCGUUCAUUCCAGACUUAAUUAAUAAGACAAAUGAUUAUGCUACCUUUGUACAGUCAAAAUACUGCAGCUAUUUAGAUCCCAUUGAGCAGAUUAGAUUUAAAAUUAAAUUCAAUAAACCAUGUUUUUGAUAAAC